Molecule: long non-coding RNA, 907 nt
Organism: Megalopta genalis
Lineage: Eukaryota; Metazoa; Arthropoda; Insecta; Hymenoptera; Halictidae
Source: RefSeq, a predicted model, not a curated record
AAGUAUUCUGAAAACAACGUUAAAACUGAACCUGCGAGAAAAUUCAUUUUUAAGGAUUUUCUGACCACGUUUUCAGGACUCGUGACCACCGUGCGUCGGCGUCGCAGACAAAAUUAGCUAGCAAAAGCGGAAUCAGCUCGGAUUCAUCGUAUUCUCCGCCGAAGCGGGUCAAUUAUGCGAGUCGCGAACCGUCCCAGUCGGCUAUUCCAAUCACGAUCCUGCGCCGAUAGCCGUGCACCUUGCACGCGCGGCUCGUUAGCGGAACCAAUAUAUCUCGAACCCGUGUCAAAGUUCGACGCGAAGUGUUUCAUCUGUCGCUCGAACACCUCCGAGCUAUUCCCGAUAUUCGCCUGUCCGGGACGCAGGAAUCAUUUCAACUCGACUAUGCCGAAGAAAUUAAGUAUUUUAUGGAUGAUUAUAAAAAUUAUCCAUACAUAAUGGAUGCAGUCCGCACGUUGCAGAGACAUCGUCCUUAAGAGAAUCCCAUCUCCUUUUCGAGCCACAGAACGACGAACGUUUCUACAUGCCUACCUGGCGGCCAUCAACACCGGAGUUAUUAAUUAUGAUGUAUACGUACCGAAUGUUUACGCACCGUGAAUCGUAAGAACGAAUUGAAAACUCGCCCGGACGAAUAUGGCGAAGGCCGUGGAAACGAAAAACGUGCUCGGUUCGUACGAACGAAACGAAACGUGUCGUAACCGAUUGUACCCUAAGUUCUCUAGCAUCUGAUUUCGAACGACGGGCGUCGCAUAGCGAUAAAAAAAACAUACAACAACUAAAAUUAUAUAUUUAAGCCUUACUUUUUCAUUUUACAUUGUUGGCACGUAUAUUCGGAUUUUCGCUGGGACAGAAUAAUGAAAACAAAAUGCAGCGUUUUAAUUGUUCAUAAACAAAGUUUUUAAAAAUA